CAGCAGUGGAGCCUGGUCAUGGAAAGCGUGGUGCCCUCAGACCGCGGCAACUACACCUGCGUAGUGGAGAACAAGUUUGGCAGCAUCCGGCAGACAUACACGCUGGAUGUGCUGGAGCGCUCCCCGCACCGGCCCAUCCUGCAGGCGGGGCUGCCGGCCAACCAGACGGCGGUGCUGGGCAGCGAUGUGGAGUUCCACUGCAAGGUGUACAGUGACGCACAGCCCCACAUCCAGUGGCUCAAGCACGUGGAGGUGAACGGCAGCAAGGUGGGCCCGGACGGCACACCCUACGUUACCGUGCUCAAGUCCUGGAUCAGUGAGAGUGUGGAGGCCGACGUGCGCCUCCGCCUGGCCAAUGUGUCGGAGCGGGACGGGGGCGAGUACCUCUGUCGAGCCACCAAUUUCAUAGGCGUGGCCGAGAAGGCCUUUUGGCUGAGCGUUCACGGGCCCCGAGCAGGUAACGACUCUGUCCCAUGCCGGCCGGCACAAGAGCUCCAGCUCCAAGGCCCUGGCCGCGCGCCCUGCACGCCCCGCACGCCCAGCCC
RNAcentral lists this small RNA (545 nucleotides) under Pongo abelii (Sumatran orangutan). Its description in RNAcentral is "processed transcript". The record is from RNAcentral. Lineage: Eukaryota; Metazoa; Chordata; Mammalia; Primates; Hominidae.